This 253-nucleotide ribosomal RNA is filed under the name uncultured bacterium. RNAcentral's name for it is "partial 16S ribosomal RNA". It matches the Rfam family "Bacterial small subunit ribosomal RNA", at positions 524 to 776 of the family's 1533-position model. The record is from RNAcentral.
UACAGAGGUCUCGAGCGUUGUUCGGAUUCAUUGGGCGUAAAGGGUGCGUAGGUGGUUAGGUAAGUCGGAUGUGAAAUCCCGGGGCUCAACCCCGGAACUGCAUUCGAUACUGCUUGGCUUGAGUACUGGAGAGGAGAUUGGAAUUUACGGUGUAGCAGUGAAAUGCGUAGAUAUCGUAAGGAAGACCAGUGGCGAAGGCGGAUCUCUGGACAGUUACUGACACUGAGGCACGAAGGCCAGGGGAGCAAACGGG